AGUGAACGCUGGCGGUAGGCCUAACACAUGCAAGUCGAACGGCAGCACAGGAGAGCUUGCUCUCUGGAUGGCGAGUGGCGGACGGGUGAGGAAUACAUCGGAAUCUACUCUGUCGUGGGGGAUAACGUCGGGAAACUUACGCUAAUACCGCAUACGACCUACGGGUGAAAGCAGGGGAUCUUCGGACCUUGCGCGAUUGAAUGAGCGGAUGUCGGAUUAGCUAGUUGGCGGGGUAAAGGCCCACCAAGGCGACGAUCCGUAGCUGGUCUGAGAGGAUGAUCAGCCACACUGGAACUGAAACACGGUCCAGACUCCUACGGGAGGCAGCAGUGGGGAAUCUUGCGCAAUGGACGGAAGUCUGACGCAGCCACGCCGCGUGAGUGAAGAAGGCCUUCGGGUUGUAAAGCUCUGUCGCCCGGGACGAACAGCUUGUGGGUGAAUAGCCCAUGAGUCUGACGGUACUGGGAAAGGAAGCACCGGCUAACUCCGUGCCAGCAGCCGCCGUAA
RNAcentral lists this ribosomal RNA (507 nucleotides) under uncultured bacterium. Its description in RNAcentral is "partial 16S ribosomal RNA". It matches the Rfam family "Bacterial small subunit ribosomal RNA", at positions 29 to 523 of the family's 1533-position model. The record is from RNAcentral.